RNAcentral lists this transfer RNA (72 nucleotides) under Bacteroidales bacterium. RNAcentral describes it as "tRNA-Thr". It matches the Rfam family "tRNA". From Rfam's summary of the family: Transfer RNA (tRNA) molecules are approximately 80 nucleotides in length. The record is from RNAcentral. Lineage: Bacteria; Pseudomonadati; Bacteroidota; Bacteroidia; Bacteroidales.
GCUGUUGUAGCUCAGGGGUAGAGCACUUCCUUGGUAAGGAAGAGGUCAUGAGUUCAAAUCUCAUUAACAGCU